RNAcentral lists this ribosomal RNA (473 nucleotides) under Belostoma flumineum. Its description in RNAcentral is "partial 16S ribosomal RNA". It matches the Rfam family "Bacterial large subunit ribosomal RNA", at positions 1796 to 2541 of the family's 2925-position model. The record is from RNAcentral. Lineage: Eukaryota; Metazoa; Arthropoda; Insecta; Hemiptera; Belostomatidae.
UCGCCUGUUUUACAAAAACAUGUCCUUUUGAGUUUUAUUUAAGGUCUGACCUGCCCUAUGAGAAAUUAAAUGGCCGCGGUAUUUUAACCGUGCAAAGGUAGCAUAGUCACUUGUCUCUUAAUUGGAGGCUUGAAUGAAGGGUUGGACGAGAUAUAAACUUUCUUUAUUAUAUUGGGUUGAAUUUGACUUUUGAGUCAAAAGGCUUAAAUUUAUUUAUAGGACGAGAAGACCCUAUAGAAUUUUAUAUUUUAUUAUAAAUAAUUUAUUUGUUUAUAAUUAGAUUUUUUACAAUAAAAUAUUUUGUUGGGGCGAUGGGGAGAUUUUUUUAACUCUUUUUUUUUAUUAACAUUGAUAUAUGUAUUUUUGAUCCUUUUUUAGAGAUUAAAAGAUUAAAUUACCUUAGGGAUAACAGCGUAAUUCUUUUGGAGAGUUCUUAUCGAUAAAAGAGUUUGCGACCUCGAUGUGGAUUAAAA